Molecule: ribosomal RNA, 499 nt
Filed under: uncultured bacterium
Lineage: Bacteria
Description: partial 16S ribosomal RNA
Rfam family: Bacterial small subunit ribosomal RNA
Source: RNAcentral
AUUGAACGCUGGCGGCAGGCUUAACACAUGCAAGUCGAGCGGGGAAAGGUAGCUUGCUACCUACCUAGCGGCGGACGGGUGAGUAAUGCUUAGGAAUCUGCCUAUUAGUGGGGGACAACAUUCCGAAAGGAAUGCUAAUACAGCAUACGCCCUACGGGGACAGCAGGGGAUCUUCCGACCUGGUCCUAAUAGAUGAGCCUAAGUCAGAUUAGCUAGUUGGUGGGGUAAAGGCCUACCAAGGCGACGAUCUGUAGCGGGUCUGAGAGGAUGAUCCGCCACACUGGGACUGAGACACGGCCCAGACUCCUACGGGAGGCAGCAGUGGGGAAUAUUGGACAAUGGGCGAAAGCCUGAUCCAGCCAUGCCGCGUGUGUGAAGAAGGCCUUUUGGUUGUAAAGCACUUUAAGCGAGGAAGAGGCUACUUGGAAUAAUACUCUAGGAUAGUGGACGUUACUCGCAGAAUAAGCACCGGCUAACUCUGUGCCAGCAGCCGCCGUAA